UACACCGUUAGGUGAGGUUACUCCACGGAUAUGGCUGUUGCCCGGAAAUGUCGAGAGACGCCAACGGGUCAGCUGGCACUACCGAGUUAAGGUUUUGUCUAACACAGCUGAUAGUGUUUUCUAUCUAUGCCCUGGAGAGCCAAAACUCGGCGAACA
RNAcentral lists this small RNA (156 nucleotides) under Massilioclostridium coli. RNAcentral's name for it is "M-box riboswitch (ykoK leader)". It matches the Rfam family "M-box riboswitch aptamer (ykoK leader)", at positions 11 to 158 of the family's 169-position model. From Rfam's summary of the family: M-box riboswitch, also know as ykoK leader is described as a metaloregulatory RNA that sense divalent metals and function as a genetic control element of genes related to divalent metal transport in bacteria. It was first reported upstream of the B.subtilis ykoK gene and genes with related functions in other bacteria. Lineage: Bacteria; Bacillati; Bacillota; Clostridia; Eubacteriales; Clostridiaceae. The record is from RNAcentral.